CGGGCAUCCACAUAACUAGGACCUACAUACUUUCCCUGGAAAGUAGUCUUAAAGAACCCCCAACACUGUCGAUCAGGCUGAGUGCCCUCUUUAACCGUAAGCCACCACUGGUAAGCCUCAUCUCUCAGCAGUGACAUUGCACCCUUUAGUUUGCGGCCAGAUGAUGAAGACCUAGCUCGAGCACCUCCACGGCCUCCACCUUAGGCUCUUAAACCC
RNAcentral lists this long non-coding RNA (216 nucleotides) under Gossypium barbadense (sea-island cotton). Its description in RNAcentral is "long non-coding RNA (GBAR_LNC010621)". Lineage: Eukaryota; Viridiplantae; Streptophyta; Magnoliopsida; Malvales; Malvaceae. The record is from RNAcentral.